UCUACACCAUCAGCGAUUGUUGUCACUUCAUCGGAAAUCUUCACCUCCGAAUCCAAGUCGAGGUCCAUCAGCGAUCACAGCGAUCCCAACUUUUCCUGGGUCUAUUGUACACGCUACCGACCUCCGAAGCUUCCACGUGCUAAAAGAGAAAUGAACUUAAGGAACCGUUACCGUAAUCCGCGCAUACCCUUCUCUACAACAGAGGUGGGGGCAUUGGAGAGAAAGUUUCUGCAGUCUCCUUAUCUUGGUAGCAACGACGUCAACGAGUUGGCCGCGGCACUCAACAUGUCCCCCAAAAGAGUAAAGAUUUGGUUUCAGAACAGAAGGGCUCGCGAGCGUCGUGAAAGGGAAGUUCAAUAAAAACACACGUACGUCUUUAAGUUUCGUGUAUUGGAGUGAAGGUGGCUACGUUUCGAAUCCACGGUCGGCGAUUAACAUGCAAACAACACCAGCAACGCAAUUUCUCACUUAGCAUUUGUGACCCAUUUGAGUUUGUUUGCGGACGGGAUGU
Long non-coding RNA from Daphnia pulex (common water flea), 511 nucleotides. RefSeq lists it as uncharacterized. NCBI's taxonomy places the organism in Eukaryota, Metazoa, Arthropoda, Branchiopoda, Diplostraca, Daphniidae. The record is from RefSeq and is a predicted model, not a curated record. The transcript has 3 exons.